This is a long non-coding RNA of Aphis gossypii (cotton aphid), 5079 nucleotides long. RefSeq lists it as uncharacterized. The record is from RefSeq and is a predicted model, not a curated record. Lineage: Eukaryota; Metazoa; Arthropoda; Insecta; Hemiptera; Aphididae. The transcript is spliced from 5 exons.
AUUUAUGUACGUAACAAUAAUUAUAAAUAUUUAAUUAAAUAAGUAGCUUUAUAAUUUUAUUGGUGUUAUUUAUGAAAUUUGUAAAAUAAAAAUUAUUCAUCAACUUAAAACUAAACUGUAUUAUAUUGUAUUUUGAUAAUCCACUUCGUAUGAGUAAUUAUGUUUAGUAUUACUGAUUCAGUAUUAUCGGAGCUCACAAAUAUCGAUAAAAUCUCAUUUUUAAAGAAUUUUCUAGAACUAAAUGAUAGUAAACAAAUAUAAUUAUCCCGUUUAUUGUUUAAAAGUUGAUUGAUUAUUUAAUACAUUCAAGGUCUAAAGUAGAGUACAUGCCACAUGUGCACAUCAUCACAAUAUAAAUCAAUACAAAUGAAUACUCAAUAAAAUUUAAUUUAACAUAAAAAAACGCUUGAGCUUUCUACAAAAUGUAAUGUUUAAUAAACGUAUAAGGCAUCAUAAAAUAAGGCAUUAGCAGAAAUUACAGAUUGAAAUUAAAAAUUUGUCUCUUAAUGGAUUCAGUGUUUUGAUAUAACAUUGCUUGAUUCUAAGCAUUUUAAAUUUUAAUAUUUUAUUUUAUUAGUUAAUUAUCAUAAAAAAAUAACAAACCAAUUUAAAAAAGUUUAUCAUUAUAUAAUUUAUUCUUAUAUAUUAUAUAGCAACUGUAAUUUGAUUAUUAAUUUUUAAUUAUGUAUUAUUUUACAGAUAGUAAGUACCUAUUAUUGUUUAUAAUUUUUAUUAUGAUGCUAAACGAAUAUAAUUAUCUCGUUUAUUGUUUAAAAGUUGAUUGAUUAUUUAAUACAUUCAAGGUCUAAAGUAGAGUACAUGCCACAUGUGCACAUCAUCACAAUAUAAAUCAAUACAAAUGAAUACUCAAUAAAAUUUAAUUUAACAUAAAAAAACGGUUGAGCUUUCUACAAAAUGUAAUGUUUAAUAAACGUAUAAGGCAUCAUAAAAUAAGGCAUUAACAGAAAUUACAGAUUGAAAUUAAAAAUUUGUCUCUUAAUGGAUUCAGUGUUUUGAUAUAACAUUGCUUGAUUCUAAGCAUUUUAAAUUUUAAUAUUUUAUUUUAUUAGUUAAUUAUCAUAAAAAAAUAACAAACCAAUUUAAAAAAGUUUAUCAUUAUAUAAUUUAUUCUUAUAUAUUAUAUAGCAACUGUAAUUUGAUUAUUAAUUUUUAAUUAUGUAUUAUUUUACAGAUAGUAAGUACCUAUUAUUGUUUAUAAUUUUUAUUAUGAUGCUAAACGAAUAUAAUUAUCUCGUUUAUUGUUUUAAAGUUGAUUGAUUAUUAAAUACAUUCAAGGUCUAAAGUAGAGUACAUGUCACAUGUGUACAUUAUCACAAUAUAAAUCAAUACAAAUAAAUACUCAAUAAAAUUUAAUUUAACAUAAAAAAACGCUUGAGCUUUCUACAAAAUGUAAUGUAUAAUAAACGUAUAAGGGAUUAUAAAAUAAGGCAUUAACAGAAAUUACAGAUUGAAAUUAAAAAUUUGUCUCUUAAUGAAUUCAGUAUUUUGAUUCUAAGCAUUUUAAAUUUUAAUAUUUUAUUUUAUUAGUUAAUUAUCAUAAAAAAAUAACAAACCAAUUUAAAAAAGUUUAUCAUUAUAUAAUUUAUUCUUAUAUAUUAUGUAGCAACUGUAAUUUGAUUAUUAAUUUUUAAUUAUGUAUUAUUUUGCAGAUGGUAUGUACCUAUUAUUUCUUGCUUUUCAUUUUAUUAAUUUAUAUAAUUUAAGUUUUUCUUUUUAAAAAUUCUUUUGUAAUCAAUUAAAAACUUUAGAAUAGCAACUUUUUUAAGUCCGUAUCACUCGUAAGACUUUAUCUUUUAGUCGAGUGUGUCAUUUUCCAAAUUAUUAUUAUCAAGUCAACUACACUGUGACUUCAUUUAUAAUGUGUUCUUGGUUUAGUUUUUCAUUGUAAGUCUGAUAAAGUUUUCAAUGUGGUUUUAUAUGCGAUGAACAUUUUUACUAUCUACACUUACCUAUUUAUUAUGUAUGUUACUUAUAUUUUUUGUCUUUUUACUUAAAAAUGUUUCGAUUCUUCAUAAUUUUUGACAAUUUUAUCUAAUAAGUCAGAGCUUAAAAAUAAUAUUACCUUUUGUUUAUAUUAAGUGUAACGUAACUUAAUCUUUGAAAGUAGUAAACGAUAUAAUAAAAAUAAGUAAUAUAUUAAUAUACUAUGAAAUCAGAAAUUACAUAGAAAUUUGUUAAGAACUAUUUAAACGAUUGGCUAUAUUUUAUAAUUUAUUCAUAUGAAUAUUAUAUAUAUCUUAUACUAAUCAAUUAUUAUUAUCGGUUGUUAUUUUUUUUUUUUUAGUUAACCUAUGUAAGUUGUGUAUAUUUUUAGCAACAAGUUUAUUGUAUACAAUAAUAUACCUACCUGAAUAAUUUUACUUUUUGAGUAUUCAACUUAAGAUGUCAAUGAUUAAAUGUUAUUAAACCGUGGUUUGAAUUUUUUUUUUAAGUGGUUAUAAUCGUUUUUACAUUAUUUCUUAAAAAAGACGUUAGCUUCCAUAUAUUUUGUUUUAUCAAGUAUCGAUCUCUUUAUAGUUUGUUAGUAUUGAGCUGUAGAUUUGUUAGACCGGAACUAUACACUGUGUAUUACGCUGCGUUUUCCGUCGUAUUAAAAAUGCGUUGAUUUAUAUUUGAAUAGCUAUACGCUACGGAUGUAAUAUGUCGCAUUUUCAUCCGCUGCGGAAAACGUAAUCCGGCUUGCGUUUUGAUUGGCGAACGCCCCGAAGUAAUAAAAAAACGGCGUAUUACGUCCGUCGUAUUUAUAGCUACUUUGAUAUAAACCAAUCCAUUUUUAAUUCUACAGAAAACGCCGCGGAAUACGCAGCGUUCGAAAAGCGACAGAAUACGGCGUGUAGGCGUGUAUAGGUCCGGCCUUAAAAACCAUCCUAUAUAAUCUAUUAUUUUUUAUUGUUUUCAUUUUGUACAUAUAAAUCACAUCAUUAGUCUUCUAAUAAAUGUCGUGUAAUACUAUAAUAUGAGUAUAUGAUCUACACAUUCAUUUCGCCUUCUUACUAUAUUAUUCCAUAGUUAUUAGUUUGUCUUUUAGCCAAUGGCGUAGAUACGAUUUUUAGUUUGCAUUUUUAUUAUGUUCUAACCGUCAUAUAAAAAAAUUUGGCUUUUUUGGGGGAGAGGUGGAAACCCCUUACAUCCUCCCCCCGUAAAUACGCCACUACUUUUAACAUAGGUAACAAUCAUUAAUAUUAACAUCUACUUUUAAACUUUUAUUUUAGCGGAUGGUUGUAAGUAAAUAGUUUUAUUCUUUUAUUAAUUUCAAUAAAUAUUUGCGUUGUAUAAAGUAAAAAAUGAAUAUAUAUUCCCAACAAUAUUUUUACUAAAUUUUAAAAUCGAAUAUCGAUAAUAUAGCGUUCAUAAAUUGUUUUCCUAAAUCAAUUACCUUCUAUUGUGUUGGGUUAAACACAAUGCAUGCAUUAUAACUGCAGGUAAUUGGUUUGUACAUUAAAACUUGUGAUUAAAUAAAUUGUUCCAUACUAUAAGAAAAUUGAUAGCGUAGUUCAACGUUUGUACAUUUGUCAUGAUACCUAUCCGGAUUAAACUGCAAGCUUGGAGAUCACUUUUUAGUUUUUCACACAUUGAGUGUUUAACAUGAGUCAUCAAUCUUUGUAGCACUUUUGCACACUGAAUUUUUGACAAAUCAUGUAACAAGUAGCGGCUAUAGUGAGCCUAUAUGACGUAUUAAAUACUAGGACUAGGCUAUGUGAAUCCAAACGUCCAACAAUACAUAUUUUGAACAUUCGUUAAUAACAAUAUGGUUGAAUUACGUAGUUACCGAACUUAUUAUAGUUUAAACCCCUUAAUCCUUAUACUGAAACUAUGUAGCUAACUAUUCUUCAUUUAGUCCUUAUUCGAUUCAAGACAAUUUUUAAAAAGUGAUCAUGAUACAGUUUGGUUAAUAUUUGUAGAAUUUUGGGUAAGUUAGUUUAUUUUGGUCAAUCGUAAUACGGAAAAGUAAUUCAAGAUUUCUAGAAAUUAUUGCCAACCCUAUGCAAUAUGCAUCUACCUCUGAUGUACAAUAAGUUUCGAGAGUAUCUACUUUUUUAUUAAAUAGGGCAUUGUAAUGGACAACCGUAGUAUAACUUAUAAAGAUUGCAGUAAUUUAGUUUUUUAAUUAUUAUUAGAAAAUCUGGAAAUUGACAUCAGUUGUGUAUUAAUAAUAUAAAUAAUUACACAAACAUAAAUAAAUAAUAAAUACUAUGAAAACUGUAUGACUAUUACAAGAUACUAACAUAAAUACUCGUAUUUAUAUUAAAGAAACAGAUAUCUUAAAUAUCGAUGAUCAUUAAUUUUAUUUUAUUAAAACUGUAAAAUGAUUUAAAAGUUUGAUAGUAGUAGGUAUGCAAUGCAUUUUUGAGCGACCACAAAAUAUUUUGUUGUAUCUUUUGAACAAUAACGAUGCGAAAAUGAAAUUCAAAAAGUGCAUUAUGAAAAAAGUAGUUAAUGAUUCACUUAUAAAAUAUAAAAAGAUUAUUAUCAACUAUAACGGUGUGCAAACGAUUCGCUCAUAUUAUAAGUCACAUUUGAAUAUUGUUGUAAAAUACUAAAUAAUAUUAUUUAAUAUUUUGUAUAGAAACAAUAUUUGAGUACUUUAAUUUUUAGACUGUAUAAUUUAAUCAUAAUGUUUAUAAUUGUUUAUUAAUUAAUAUGUUUAUUAUAUUUUCUCUAGCAAAAAUGAAAAAAGCCGUGUAUUGUAUUGCCCAAGAUUUCGUCGAAUACCUCCAAUCAGAUGGAAAAACGAAAACUGAACCGAUUACGGCGUUCGUUGAAGCUAAAAUUGUUGACGGAGAUUACUCAUAUGUGAAGAAGAUGUUCACUGCUACUACAGUUUAAAAUUAAUCUAUUUAAUAUUUUGUUUGACUAUUGUCUAUUUUAUUAUAAAAUAUAAUUUAAAAUUUAAAUUGUCUAAUAGAAUAACAUAUUAAAUUUAUUAUAGUUAUGAAAAUAAUACUGGAAGUAUAUAAUAUCUUAUUUUUUAUUUCAUAUUUAUACUUUCAUGUUAUAACGUACAAUUAUAGUAUAUUUCUUAUUUGAUAAAUAAAUAAUAAUAAUCUUGAUAUUAAA